Molecule: long non-coding RNA, 1330 nt
Filed under: Homo sapiens (human)
Lineage: Eukaryota; Metazoa; Chordata; Mammalia; Primates; Hominidae
Description: HSALNT0278748
Source: RNAcentral
UCGGGCUAAGCCAUUACCUCUCAGCCUCCGUGCCCCGGUGGGCUCUGAAGGAGCCUGUUUCAUCCUGAGCAAUGGUGGAGGCGGAGGCUGCAGAGGAGGGGUGAAGUCCUGGGGCUCUGGGGGAGACAAAGGACCCUGCUGGUGUCCCUCAGACCCGGGUUCUGGCCCCUCUGCUUCGUGUGACUUCAGACAAGUCGCUUUACCUCUGUGAGUCUGUUUCCCCAGCUGUAAAAUGGGGAUCAUAACACCAACCUACCUCUCAGGAUCCCCAAGAGGAGGAAGUAGGCGAAUGUACAAGAAGGCCCCUUCCACCCAGCCUGGGCACUGCUGGUGCUCACAGGGACUCAGGAACAGUGCGUCAUGGGGCGUGGGUCACCUUCUCUGGGCCCACAUACCAGCUUUGCCUCUCACUGGCCGUGUUCUCUUGGAAAAAUGACCUACGUUUCCUAAGUCUAUGUUUCCACAUCUGUAAAAUGAGGAUGAUCCACAUAUGGUUGUCCCAGUAUUAUUCUGAGAAUUAAAUGAGAUACUUCAUUAAAGUACUUGAUGCAUAGGAUGGACUUAAUAAAUUACUACGUAACGAUACACUCUGGGAAUAUGUAAGGCCUGUGAGUGGAGAAUGCCAUGCCGGGGAUGUUAUUUGGAAGGAUCCAGAAUCACUAAAACAGAAUUUAACAGGGAGAAGGAUAAAAGUUCUCCAUUAAAGUUCCAAACAUGAGUUUCGUAUAUUUUUCCACUUCUGUGUCAGAGAAGCCACACCUCUCCCGUCACCAGCCCUCGGAACCUGCAGAAAGAGAUGUCAAAUGGGAAGACCUCGCAUGUGCUGGCUUGUGGCAUUUGCCUGUUUCUUUUCACAGCCAACGAACCGUCACUGAGCACCGUCUGUGUGCCCCGAGAAACACAUUGGGAAAUGGAUAUUCUAGAAGAGUUCUCCAACAACCAUUUCUUGGAAUUGUAAAUGUCUGAGGGCUGCUGCAAUACUUCAGAUUAUCUUGUUUUCUUGAUCUGUGGAAGCCAAGAUUUUAAUGCUACAUCUGUGUGAGUAUCUUUUGAUAAUAAGAACCAAAUGUUGUCGGUGGAAAUGACUGGAAAUUACACUUAGGAUCAGAAUGUGGGGUUUUAGAUUCCCUCUUGGAAGGCAGUGCUGAGAAACAAACACAAGGGACAUUUUCCCUAUAAAUCACUCAGGAUGUUGCAACACUCAAGGCUCCUGCCUGCUCCUCUCUCCGGGCAUCAGGAAGCCUGGGAUGGAGCACCCUGGGCGAAGGGGUCCACUGGUCAGUAGUAAAUAUCCCAUAGCUCAAAUUAAACCUCCAGUUCCCAUCUCCCC